GUAGGCGUCCACACCGCUGGACGGUGCACGGUUCUGCCGCGCGUCUGCGGCCCUCCGCCCCGCCCCGCUCCGAAAUCUCGCAUCGCAUCAAUGGAAGCUGUGCCCGUGCGUUGCGCUGCCUCCCCGCCCCUUCCAUGCUCCUCUCGCGCCCUUCCAUCCCCGUCGUGCUCCAUGCCCCAGCCUCCGCCAUCCCCGCCCCACGAGUCGUCCCCGUCCUCGGAAAUCUCGCCGCGCCCCCGCCCCAAAACCUCCCCUACCUCCCACCCAGAUCGGAGCACGUGGACCUCCCACAGUGCUGUGAUGGCUGGGGACACCGCGGAGGAGGGAUCCUCUCCAAGUCCUGUGACGCGGCGUUCCUCGAUGGAGGGGAUGACACGGAGGAGGGGUCCAUGGGGCGGUCGUGACCGCUGGCAAUCCGAAGGUCGGUGCUGCCCUCUCUUCGGCGAAAGCAACGGUGAGAACGAAACCCCCUCCACCCCUGUCCCAAGAUCCAGCACCCAAUCUCCACCGCGACCCACCACCAGGCGCCAUGUGUCCCUCUCCCUGAAACGCCGUCAUCGUGCUGGUGUGGCUACAUGACCACCCUCUUCUCCUCGCUCAAAUGUCAUCGUGAUGCCUGCGUGUGUCGUCGCCAUGCCCUUGCCCCUCUUCCUGAAAUGUGUUGUCGUGCUGGUGUGCGCCAGAUGGCCAUCCCCUUCUCCUCGCUCAAACGCCAUCGCGAUGCCUGCGCGCGUUGUUGCCAUACCCCUGCCCCUCUCUAAAAUGCUAUCGACGUGCUGUUGCGGGCCGCAGCACCAUCCCCUUCUCCCCGCUCAAAUGCUAUCGCGAUGCCUACACGCGUUGUCGCCAUGCAUGCUGGUGGAGCUGAGGGAGAAGUUGGCUAACAUGUACGAGGUGAAGGACCCAAACUGCAUUAUCGUCUUCAAGUUCUGCAUCCACUUUUUAGGCAGCAUGUCCACUUGAGGCGGGAAGUCCAUAGGUUUAGCUGCAUCUAUGACAACCUCGAUGCAGCCAAGAAAUUCGAGCCCAAUUACAGGCUUCUCAGGAGCAAUAAGCAAAUAUUGGUCACCCAUCUUCUAGCUGUUCUCUCUUAGGUGCUGACAGAGUAAGUGCUUUUGUUCUUUCAAAUGAAGUUUUGGCUAAGAACAUCACUAUUGUGGUCAGUAAGGUAUAUAUUAUGCACGUUUGUCUACCAAUAUAUAUGAAUUGUUAUUAUUGAGUAAAUUUUAAUGAAUUGUUAUUCAUUUCCAUGUGCAGUCUGAAACAAGGGUGUUUUUCCCAACACACAAAUUAACUAGAGUGAUGUUUAUCAUAUUGUGCAGUUUAGAAAAAAGUUGAUGAAUCUGGUGGUACUUUAGGGUUUCUUGAUCUGUAAUAAAACAAAAUGAAUGGGCUACCAUCUAUGUGUUCGAUUUGAAAAUCAUGAGGAAAUCACUUUAUUUGUUGCUUUUUAGCUUCCUGGCCUAAUUUAAAUGUUUUUAAGGCCUUUUAAGGUUAAAUUAUCUCUAAAAUGUCACAUUGAUUCUUUUAUAGAAGUUAGGAAAACUAUAUGCCAAAACAUACGGAACAUGUCACCUUGAGCCAAAAAUAUACUUUCUGUUUGCAUCAAGUGAACAUAUGAAACAUGUCAAUGAUACGGAGACCACGAGCUUCAUUUUGAAGUAGACCCACUAGCUGCAGUAUGUACAGAAUGCAUAUUUCUUUAAGUACAGAACCAUCGAAUAAUCAUUCUUUGUUGGUGCUCAUAUUGUUCAUUAAACACAAGUUAUCGUUGUUGAAUGCCCAAAUAUUAUAGGACUGAAUACAUAUUAGAAACAAAUAUUCAGAUACAAAAUGCAACUCCAAUGUUUUUUGCUACCACAUGUAGCCUAAGUAUUACGGGGGUUUAUCUUUACCUAGGGUACAAUUCAAAACUUCCAAGUUAUCUCACGUUGUAUAUAUUUGUCAUUUUAUAUUAUUGUUGAGAUUUUUCUCAAAACAAGUUAACUAUUGGAUUACUGUUCAUUAAAAUGUAGUUCUGUUUGGAAGGUUUGCUUCAAUAUCCCGAGGUAUGGCACCAUAGAACGCAUUAUGAUCAAGAAGCAGCUUCUGAAGACUAGAGAAGUUCCCAAGAGAUGCAGACAAUGCUCUUGUAAGCUGGUUGUUGGACAGGCUUAUCUGACCAAGGUUAGGAGCCGCAACACCGAUCACAGCUGGGAAUUCCUAGCAUUGAAGCCAAACACUUGAGCUUACCAUCUUGAUCAAUUUCCCAUUUUGCGCAGUAAUCCAAUGUUUCCAUCACCUUUCCUAUCAUUAGAUGUUCAACUGCAUCAAAAAAAUCUAAAAUCUGAAUAUCAUCAGAUGUUGAACUUCACUGAAAAUAAAAAAACUGAAUUCUAAAUCCAAAAACUUGUAGCAGGCACCGAGUGAUAGAACGAGUCCAAAACCCCCUUCCAUUUUCUACAAACUAACCCGCAGUCCACCCGCUCCAUAGAAACUGCCAUCGUCCGCGUCUUCUGCCCACCCGCUUCGAUGUGCAGCCACAAAAUCUUGAGCUUUGUGAAACCAAUUUUUUUUAGAUAAUGGAACAGAAAUAAGGUCCCAGCCUCUACACCAUCCAAGACAGCGUACACAGCGCCAGGCAUAGAAGCUGGAAUACAACUUGUCUCCUUCAGAUCUCCUUUGCUCGCCUAGAUCCGGAAGCUUAUAUUUAUGUAUUCUACAGCCUAAUUGACUCAUCCGCAGAUGGUAUGGCUUAAAGAAUUGUACUUUAUACUGUAGUAAAUUACCUUAUUGGCUGUCCAAUACCUCUACAUUGUGAUGCCUUCUCCAAAGAAAUUUGCAGCCAAAUAGACUAUUUACUACCCUGUUUGCUGUUUCGUCGUUCUGGUGGAGCUCUAGGGAAGAUAACACAAGUAAGGAAUGGCUACCUUGAGAUGACUCAGGAAUUUAUGCAAGAACUCUAGCAAUUUUAAACACGUCUCCUCUGGUUUGUAACUAAACAUGGUCCUUUUAUGUGUAUACUUUUUAGAGAGAAAAUUAUCUUGUAGUCUCAUUGUUUCAGUUUAUGGUCCAAUUUACAAUGGAUUCACUGUAAAUGGGAAAACAACUCGGUAGGAAUGCUUUUUUGAAUUAUAAAUUACUUCUAUUUCAUACGAUGCUUCUAGGUAUGUGAUGAGUCCUCCAAUCUGAGAAGCAGGGCAUGGUAAAGCACUCCAAGCUGCUCUUUCAUCGGGAAAUUUAUAGGUGACACUUGUGUCAUACAUUGAACUAUAGAGUCAAACAAAUUACAUAUUAUCCUUCAACAUUUUUCACCAGUGGGAACUGUAGUUAUUGCAUAGAAUAGAUGGUAUAUUAAUCGUUUGAGAGCCAAUGUUUACAUUAACUAUUAUGCAGAAGAAAAUUUAUGUUUUAUUUUAUAUCUAACUACACUUUGUUGCAGCUUGUAGGUACUGAUCGCUGCACAUUAAACUCCACACAGAUUGUCCAUGUUUCUUUCAGUCACCAUGAUUUAUCACUAGGUCAUUGUGUUUGUGGCCAACGAGUAUUGUUCUAACACCUUAUUUGAAUGCUAGGUGAGUCGAAUCUGCAACACCACAGGCUUGAAAGCGUGCCAUUGCUGUUCUACAUGAGAUUUUGAGACUGACAAUGGAGAGGCGAUUGACAUCUGAUAAGCUAGACAUAUUUCACAAUGAGUACAGGCUUCCAUGCAAGUUACUUCUUUGUUUGAUUGCAAACUGAACUUAAAUCAAAUACUUCAGUAUUGGUCUCUAGAGAGGAAGCUCUGCCAACCAUUACUAAUAACUGAGAAGGCAAAGAGUGCAUUAUGGACAACAUUCAAAUCACAAUCAGUGUUCUUAGUGAACUUGUUUCCUAUCCGCACAUGAUGGUGACCCUACUGCUAUUUUUAUUAAUCCAUCCAUACUAAUUGUACCUCUGUUACAUGUGCGAAUUAGUAUGUCAGUUUAACAACCUUUUCCCCUUAUGUUGUGCGGGAGACAGCAUUACAAUGUUUAGUAGCCUUUUCGACGUUUCCUCACACAAAGAUUUAUCCUGUGCGGCGAAAGGUUGUGCAGGCAGCAAUCAGAGCUCUCGACGAUAAGAAACGGGUUGUUCGUCAAGUGUCUGUCCGAUGCGGGCACACAUGGUGCGGACAUUUUACAAAUUUUGAAUCAGCUGCAUAGAGCAGUCAGGUAAUGACAUAUGUAAUCAGCUAUUUGAAUUGGUUAAGGAUUUUAGUGUAGGCGUCCACACCCUGGUGAAGCACGCCCCCGCCCGUAAUCCCUGCUCUCUCUAGCCCGCAUCAGCUGAUCUUUCUGCCGCCGCUUUGCCUUUUUUUCUUGAUUAUAAUAAAAAUGGAAUUAUCUACAACAAUUUUCUUGAUUACAGACACUUCGUUCAAACUUAUUUUUUCAUGGAAUCCAAAAAUAGCAGUAGCACUAAAUCUGACUUUCAUUUCUGCUUAUUUGUGUUGUACAUAGGAAUCCUUAUUCCCUUGACAUCUCUAAGGAUCAGUGCGAUGUGAUGGCAUCGGUCACAGUUCACUUGAAAACAGGAUUUAUUUUGAAAAAUUCUACAUUACCAAUAGUUUUUGUUCUUCUAGCAUAAUCUGAAUGCUUUCCUAAUUAACUGAGAGGAAAAUGGUAUUUGUUUUCUGGAAUAAAUUAGCAUGUUGCUAUAUCUCUGGGUGCCACAGACAAGCUAGAGGUGGAUAAUGUUAGUCUGGGUUGUUCGUUUUUUCACUAUGUUUCUAGAUAGUAGUUCUAAUUACAAGUGAGGACCUCAGGCUGAUUUAUGUCCCAGCAAUAAGUACAGUGCUUCUAACGAUCAUUUCAUUAGAUUUAUUAUAUGCAAAAAUAAUAGAGAAGAAUUUAACUACAAGGUUCGGUUAGUAAACACAAUAGAAAAGAUUUUUUGCUGAUUACUUGCCGUUGAUUUUGUAUAAACUGAACCAAUGGAAAUAAGUUGUGUACAAUUACAUUCCACUAUCACCAUUUGGUAUCUAAUUUUAUAACAACUGUGAUUUAUUUCCAUAUGUGAGAAUUAAUAAGUCUUUUUUCACUACGUUUCUAAAUAGUAGUUCCGAUUACAAGUGAGGAACUUAAGAUGAUUUAUGUCCCAGCAAUAAGCAAUAAGUACAGUGCCUCUAAUGAUCAUUUCAUUAGAUUUAUUAUAUGCAAAAAUAAUAGAGAACAAGGUUCGGUUAGUAAACAUAAUAGAAAAGAGUUUUCAUAACUUGUGUUCGUUAAAAAGAAUUUUUGUUGAUUACUUGUCGUUUCUUAUUAGUUGUUUACGUGCAUCUGUAAGGCUGCACGUAAGGCUCUAUCAUCUGUUCCUUGUACAUUGUGAUCCGGGUCGAGGAGAUCCUGAAGCCACUUGCUGCAGUCAUUGGUGCCACCAUCACACUGCUGGCGUGCAGAAACUCCUCUGUUGAUUUAAUCCUAUCUCCAUCAGUGAUAUAAAGGUACAAGUUGAAGUAGAAGACACGAAUAUGAUGCACCAAGUCAAGUCUGACGAUUUUGUAUGUCUCGGUUCCUUCUUGUCCUGGUGCAUAUGUGCUCUUCCAUUCAUUUCUGAUCUUCCGAGAAGAUAACAGAUCUAACUGGGGAUGCUUUCACCAUAGACGAGCUAUUCUUUAAUCAUUGAUUAUUGUGACUGUAACUUCUGAUUUCUCAAUUUUCUAUCUGAAGUUUGAGCUUCUGAA
Molecule: long non-coding RNA, 5683 nt
Organism: Zea mays
Lineage: Eukaryota; Viridiplantae; Streptophyta; Magnoliopsida; Poales; Poaceae
Exons: 7
Source: RefSeq, a predicted model, not a curated record